Molecule: ribosomal RNA, 540 nt
Filed under: Pseudophycis barbata (southern bastard codling)
Lineage: Eukaryota; Metazoa; Chordata; Actinopteri; Gadiformes; Moridae
Description: partial 16S ribosomal RNA
Rfam family: Bacterial large subunit ribosomal RNA
Source: RNAcentral
UCGCCUCCUGUAACAUGUAAACAUAGGAGGUCCCGCCUGCCCUGUGACGAUAAGUUUAACGGCCGCGGUAUUUUAACCGUGCGAAGGUAGCGUAAUCACUUGUCUUUUAAAUGAAGACCAGUAUGAAUGGCAUCACGAGGGCUUAACUGUCUCCCCUAUCCAGUCAAUGAAAUUGACUUUCCCGUGCAGAGGCGGGAAUAAUGACAUAAGACGAGAAGACCCUGUGGAGCUUUAGACUUAAGAUAAAUUGUACCUGUAUGUUAUAUCCCUAAUAGAAUCCAGCAAUUAUAUAUUUAAAUGUCUUUGGUUGGGGCGACCGCGGGGUAAAAAAUAACCCCCAUGUAGAUAAGGGGUAUUACCCUUAACACUCAGAGCCUCCCCUCUAAGUAACAGAAAAUCUGACUUCCUGAUCCGGCACUCCCGAUCAACGAACCCAGUUACCCCAGGGAUAACAGCGCAAUCCCCUCCCAGAGCCCUUAUCGACGAGGGGGUUUACGACCUCGAUGUUGGAUCAGGACAUCCUAAUGGUGCAGCCGCUAU